RNAcentral lists this ribosomal RNA (810 nucleotides) under Staphylococcus saprophyticus. Its description in RNAcentral is "bacterial SSU rRNA". It matches the Rfam family "Bacterial small subunit ribosomal RNA", at positions 65 to 856 of the family's 1533-position model. The record is from RNAcentral. Lineage: Bacteria; Bacillati; Bacillota; Bacilli; Caryophanales; Staphylococcaceae.
AGCGAACAGAUAAGGAGCUUGCUCCUUUGACGUUAGCGGCGGACGGGUGAGUAACACGUGGGUAACCUACCUAUAAGACUGGGAUAACUUCGGGAAACCGGAGCUAAUACCGGAUAACAUUUGGAACCGCAUGGUUCUAAAGUGAAAGAUGGUUUUGCUAUCACUUAUAGAUGGACCCGCGCCGUAUUAGCUAGUUGGUAAGGUAACGGCUUACCAAGGCGACGAUACGUAGCCGACCUGAGAGGGUGAUCGGCCACACUGGAACUGAGACACGGUCCAGACUCCUACGGGAGGCAGCAGUAGGGAAUCUUCCGCAAUGGGCGAAAGCCUGACGGAGCAACGCCGCGUGAGUGAUGAAGGGUUUCGGCUCGUAAAACUCUGUUAUUAGGGAAGAACAAAUGUGUAAGUAACUGUGCACGUCUUGACGGUACCUAAUCAGAAAGCCACGGCUAACUACGUGCCAGCAGCCGCGGUAAUACGUAGGUGGCAAGCGUUAUCCGGAAUUAUUGGGCGUAAAGCGCGCGUAGGCGGUUUCUUAAGUCUGAUGUGAAAGCCCACGGCUCAACCGUGGAGGGUCAUUGGAAACUGGGAAACUUGAGUGCAGAAGAGGAAAGUGGAAUUCCAUGUGUAGCGGUGAAAUGCGCAGAGAUAUGGAGGAACACCAGUGGCGAAGGCGACUUUCUGGUCUGUAACUGACGCUGAUGUGCGAAAGCGUGGGGAUCAAACAGGAUUAGAUACCCUGGUAGUCCACGCCGUAAACGAUGAGUGCUAAGUGUUAGGGGGUUUCCGCCCCUUAGUGCUGCAGCUAAC